Molecule: ribosomal RNA, 564 nt
Filed under: uncultured bacterium
Lineage: Bacteria
Description: bacterial SSU rRNA
Rfam family: Bacterial small subunit ribosomal RNA
Source: RNAcentral
CCUACGGGAGGCAGCAGUGGGGAAUUUUCCGCAAUGGGCGAAAGCCUGACGGAGCAACGCCGCGUGAGGGAUGAAGGCCUCUGGGCUGUAAACCUCUUUUAUCAAGGAAGAAGAUCUGACGGUACUUGAUGAAUAAGCCACGGCUAAUUCCGUGCCAGCAGCCGCGGUAAUACGGGAGUGGCAAGCGUUAUCCGGAAUUAUUGGGCGUAAAGCGUCCGCAGGCGGUCUUGUAAGUCUGUCGUUAAAGCGUGGAGCUUAACUCCAUUUCGGCGGUGGAAACUACAAGACUAGAGUGUGGUAGGGGCGAGAGGGAAUUCCCGGUGUAGCGGUGAAAUGCGUAGAUAUCGGGAAGAACACCAGUGGCGAAGGCGCUCUGCUGGGCCAUAACUGACGCUCAUGGACGAAAGCUAGGGGAGCGAAAGGGAUUAGAUACCCCUGUAGUCCUAGCCGUAAACGAUGAACACUAGGUGUCGGGGGAAUCGACCCCCUCGGUGUCGUAGCUAACGCGUUAAGUGUUCCGCCUGGGGAGUACGCACGCAAGUGUGAACUCAAAGGAAUUGACGG